GGUCAGCUCUUACAACUUAAUCCACUUAAAAGGCUGUGAAAAAGAAGAGGACAAUAAUCACCUGUCUAGAUUUUGGGAUUCAAUACUGACACAUUUUGCACAGGUACUUAUGAAUUCCUCAACAAGUCCAGCAUACAUAUAUGGAGAAUGGCUCCCAGUGUGCUUGGAGAAUUACUUUCUUUCUGCAGUCUUAUGGCCAUUACUGGCAUUAGUGGCAGUUCCUCUUUGGCUUUUCUUCUAUAUCUACCUAUCUCUUUUUAUUGUCCUGGCCUAUGAGAUGUCUGGCAAAGUUAAGGAACAGCCCCAUAAAACCUACUAUUUUAUUUUGGGAUAUCUCUGGGACUCCUUUGGAAGAAUAUGGCAUGGUUAUGAAAUACAUGGAAUAGAAAAUCUACCAGAUGGACCAUGCCUUAUUAUUUAUUAUCAUGCUGCACUUCCUAUAGAUUACAUUUUAUUUUUAGCAAGAAUCUUUUUCCUGAAGAACAAACUGUGUUGUCACACCGUGGUUGAUCGUUUUGUCUUUAAG
Long non-coding RNA from Candoia aspera, 526 nucleotides. RefSeq lists it as uncharacterized. The record is from RefSeq and is a predicted model, not a curated record. NCBI's taxonomy places the organism in Eukaryota, Metazoa, Chordata, Lepidosauria, Squamata, Candoiidae. The transcript has 3 exons.